Molecule: unclassified non-coding RNA, 323 nt
Organism: Erinaceus europaeus (western European hedgehog)
Lineage: Eukaryota; Metazoa; Chordata; Mammalia; Eulipotyphla; Erinaceidae
Gene: 7SK
Rfam family: 7SK RNA
About the family: 7SK was discovered as an abundant small nuclear RNA in the mid-70s but a possible function has only recently been suggested. Two independent studies have found that 7SK RNA binds the CDK9/cyclin T complex (known as elongation factor P-TEFb).
Source: Ensembl
GGAUGUGAGGUCUAUCUGACUGCGACAUCUGUCACCCCACUGAUCGCCAGGGUUGAUUCCAGCUGAUUUGGCUAGCUAGGCGGUUGUCCCCUUCCUCCCUCACCGCUCUAUGUGUGUCCCUCCCAAAGCUGCCCGCUCGGUCGAAGAGGACGGCCUUCCCGGAAUAGAGACAGACUGGUGUUCGGUCGACGGUAUAUGAGUAGCUGUGCUCUCCUGCUAGAACCUCCAAAUAAGCUCUCAAGAAAGUUGAAAGUAUGUGCUAAUUGAAACAAAAUAUGAACCCAUCUCUAACUUGACUAGCAACAUAGCUAUAUCAGGGUGAG